Molecule: ribosomal RNA, 620 nt
Filed under: uncultured bacterium
Lineage: Bacteria
Description: bacterial SSU rRNA
Rfam family: Bacterial small subunit ribosomal RNA
Source: RNAcentral
GGGUGAGUAAUGCGUGAGCAACCUGCCUUUCAGAGGGGGACAACAGUUGGAAACGACUGCUAAUACCGCAUAAUGUACAUUAGAGGCAUCUUUGAUGUACCAAAGGAGCGAUCCGCUGAAAGAUGGGCUCACGUCUGAUUAGCUUGUUGGCGGGGCAACGGCCCACCAAGGCGACGAUCAGUAGCCGGACUGAGAGGUUGAACGGCCACAUUGGGACUGAGAUACGGCCCAGACUCCUACGGGAGGCAGCAGUGGGGAAUAUUGGGCAAUGGGCGAAAGCCUGACCCAGCAACGCCGCGUGAAGGAAGAAGGUCUUCGGAUUGUAAACUUCUUUUAUGAGGGACGAAGGACGUGACGGUACCUCAUGAAUAAGCCACGGCUAACUACGUGCCAGCAGCCGCGGUAAUACGUAGGUGGCGAGCGUUAUCCGGAUUUACUGGGUGUAAAGGGCGCGUAGGCGGGGAUGCAAGUCAGAUGUGAAAUCUAUGGGCUCAACCCAUAAACUGCAUUUGAAACUGUAUUUCUUGAGUGCUGGAGAGGUAGACGGAAUUCCUUGUGUAGCGGUGAAAUGCGUAGAUAUAAGGAAGAACACCAGUGGCGAAGGCGGUCUACUGGACAGU